GAAAUCCUCAUGUUAACGGUUCCAAUCUAAUCUGGGUUGGCUGGAUUGGUAGGAUAGGGGACUGGAAAUCCU
This 72-nucleotide transfer RNA is filed under the name Solanum robustum. RNAcentral's name for it is "partial tRNA-Phe". Lineage: Eukaryota; Viridiplantae; Streptophyta; Magnoliopsida; Solanales; Solanaceae. The record is from RNAcentral.